Molecule: microRNA precursor, 194 nt
Filed under: Oryza brachyantha (malo sina)
Lineage: Eukaryota; Viridiplantae; Streptophyta; Magnoliopsida; Poales; Poaceae
Description: MIR812 microRNA precursor family
Rfam family: MIR812 microRNA precursor family
Source: Rfam by way of RNAcentral
AAUAAACUAAUUUUUCACUUUUUAUCUAUAAUUUUUAACUCUUCAUCUUAUUAAAAAAAUUUUGCGAUUGAUAUUUUUGUUUUUAUUAGAUGAUAAAUCAUGAAUAGUACUUUACGUGUGACUAAUUUUUUUCUAAUUUCCUGAAAAUUUUUUAAAUAAGACGGAUGGUCAAACGUUGGACACAGAAACCGAAG